GGAGAGAUGGCCGAGUGGUCUAAGGCGUUCGAUUUAAGCUUGCGAAUCUCGAAUAACGAAAGUUGCGUGGGUUCGAACCCCACUCUCUCCA
RNAcentral lists this transfer RNA (91 nucleotides) under Uncinocarpus reesii 1704. It matches the Rfam family "tRNA". From Rfam's summary of the family: Transfer RNA (tRNA) molecules are approximately 80 nucleotides in length. Their secondary structure includes four short double-helical elements and three loops (D, anti-codon, and T loops). Lineage: Eukaryota; Fungi; Ascomycota; Eurotiomycetes; Onygenales; Onygenaceae. The record is from Rfam by way of RNAcentral.